Molecule: ribosomal RNA, 380 nt
Filed under: uncultured bacterium
Lineage: Bacteria
Description: bacterial SSU rRNA
Rfam family: Bacterial small subunit ribosomal RNA
Source: RNAcentral
GACGAACGCUGGUGGCGUGCCUAACACAUGCAAGUCAACUUGAGGGAAGGAGCAAUCUGACCUGAUGGUGGCGCAAGGGUGCGUAACGCGUAAGUAACUUGCCCCAAGGUAAGGAAUAACGUCGAGAAAUCGGCGCUAAUACCUCAUAAUGCAGCGGAUCCGCAUGGAUAUGUUGUUAAAGGUUUACCGCCUUGGAUAGGCUUGCGUCUGAUUAGCUAGUUGGUGUGGUAAAUGGCACACCAAGGCUACGAUCAGUAACUGGUCUGAGAGGAUGAUCAGUCACACUGGAACUGAGACACGGUCCAGACUCCUACGGGAGGCAGCAGUGAGGAAUAUUGGGCAAUGCACGAAAGUGUGACCCAGCAACGCCGCGUGGAGGG